Molecule: long non-coding RNA, 8504 nt
Filed under: Gossypium barbadense (sea-island cotton)
Lineage: Eukaryota; Viridiplantae; Streptophyta; Magnoliopsida; Malvales; Malvaceae
Description: long non-coding RNA (GBAR_LNC003534)
Source: RNAcentral
AUCACCCUUUUUUUUAUUUUCUAUUUCAGCUCCUAGGUCGAGAACAAGAAAUUUAAUCAAGAAUUCCAUUAAACUCCCUGUGGAUCGACCCUUUUCCACUAUUUUACCCUUUUAUUUAUCCCAACACUACUACUCUAAUCACAAAUCCCACGUUUGAACAAGAGCCAAUGGCGAACCAAACCAUUAGAGAGCUUGUCGCCGCCCCCGCCGUACAACAACCAUUCUACAUUACCUUUCCUCAAGGCACCACCCAUUUUCAACUCAAAACGGGGUUAAUUCAUCUCCUCCCUACACUUAAUGGUCUCUCUAGCGAAAGUCCACAUAAAAAGCUCGCCGAAUUCCAUAUGGUGUGUAGUAGCAUGAAGCCGCAAGGAGUCUCGGAAGACCAAAUCAAACUAAGGCCAUUUCCUUUUUCUUUAGCCGGAAUGGCUAAGGAAUGGUUAUUUUACCUUUCGCCUAACUCAAUAACCACAUGGGCUGAACUAUCUCUUGUUUUCCUUGAUAGGUAUUUUUCAGCGGCAAAGGCGAGCGAGCGAGCUUAGGCUAAGCAUUUUGGGAAUCCAACAAAGGAGCGAAGAAUCUCUCUACGACUACUGGAAGAGGUUCAAAAAGUUAUGCGCAAGUUGCCCGCAGCAUGGUCUAUCUGAGCAGACCCUCCUUCAGUAUCUCUAUGAAGGGAUGCUUCCGAUGGACAAAAAGAUGGUGGAUGUUGCAAGUGGUGGCGGUGCACUCAUCAAUAUGACGCCAGAAAAUGCGAGAACUCUAAUCUCUACUAUGGCCGCAAACUCGUAACAGUUCGGCUCUUCAAGUGAACCUAACCGACGGGUUCACGAAGUAAGUACUGUUUCUUUGGAAAAUAAAAUAGACAAGUUGACUGAUAUUGUCAACUCUCUUGUUACAGGUAAGAUAGGAGCUGCGAAGGUUUGUGGAAUCUGCACGCUGCCGAACCACCCAACCGAUUCAUGUCUAAUUCUACAAGAUGAGACGGGCGCCCAAGUCAAUGCCAUAAAUAAUUUCCGAAGACCUCCUCAAAGGCCAUACAAUCCCUAUGGUAACACUUUUAAUCCUGGUUGUAGAGAUCAACCAAAUAUGAGAUAUGGAAACAAAAACCAAAAUUACUAAUUGAGACCACCUCCCUUUCCAAAUCAAUCACCAUAAAAAACCUCUCUUGAGACCAUUGUUGAAAAGUUGGCCAUUUCACAAGAGAAAUUCCAAACCCAAACACAAUCCUAUCUCCAAGAAAUUGACAAACAAAUAAGCCAACUAGCCCAAACCGUUGGUCGCCUAGAGUCUCAAAGACGAUUGCCCUCUCAAACCUAAACAAAUCUGAAGGAAAAUGUAAGUGCGAUUACUUUACGAAGUGGUACCGUAAUUUCACCAGAGUUGACAAAGGAGCCCGAGGAAAUCGACAAAGACAAAGAAAACACUUCUUUAAAGAGUCAAGAAGAAAAAUCCUCGCCUACCUCAGGUAAAUUCAUUCCUAGUCCUUCUUUUUCUACUUACGAGACUCCUCCUCCCUUUCCAGGAAGGCUUGCAAGGUGUGACAAAAAAGAAUAGGAGAAGGAAAUUUUGGAUAUAUUCAAAAAAGUGGAAAUCAAUAUUCCACUCCUUGAUGUCAUUCGAAAGGUUCCAAAAUAUGCGAAGUUUUUGAAAGACUUAUGCACAAAUCAGAGGCGGUUAUCCGGCAAUGAAAGAGUUAUCCUCAACGAGAAUAUUUCAGCCGUUUUUCAAAGACGCCUACCACCGAAAUACAAGGACCAAGGGAUGUUCGCAAUUCCUUGCAAAAUAGGAAAAGUCAGAAUAAAAAGGGCGAUGUGCGAUCUAGGCGUAUCUAUUAAUGUCAUGCCACUAAGCGUCUACAACAAAAUUUAAACAGAACCAUUAAAAGAGACGUGAGUGAUGGUUCAAUUAGCUGAUCGGUCAGUUAUCUACCCCGAAGGGGUACUAGAAAACGUGUUGGUAAAGGUAAACGAUCUCAUUUUCCUACUGAUUUUACAUUAUUGACAUGGAAAAUGACCGUAGCAACAACGGAUCAGAAAUCUUGCUUGGACGCCCUUUCUUGUCAACAGCACAUACAAAAAUCAAUGUUCGUAACGACAUCUUAACCAUGGAAUUUGAUGGGGAAGUGGUUAAAUUCGAUGUGUGCAAAGCUAUGAAGUAUCCUGAUUCCAUCGCAAGUUUAAAUUUCGUUGACAUUAUAGAUCCGUUAGCCGAUGAUUUUAUCGAAACUGAUUUGUUUUAUGAUUUUUGUAGGGAAUUGGAGGAUCUCGACGAUGAAAGCGAAAUCAUUUCAACUCUUUCCUCCAUUUCUAAUUCUCGAUUAAUUCCAUCUAAACCUUUUCCCUCAAUUUUGCAGGCACCACAACUGGAAUUGAAGCAACUUUCAUCGCAUCUCAAAUACGAAUUUUUGGGUGAUAACCAGACCUUGCCAAUUAUCAUUUCAAGUGAAUUAUCACGACAGGAAGAGGAAGAAUUGAUUGCUUUUUUUGCGCACCUAUAAAAAGGCAAUUGGAUGGACAUUAGCUGAUAUCCAAGGCUUAAGUCCGUCCACUUGCAUGCAUAAAAUUAAAACAGAGGAGAACGCGAAACCAACAAGAGAAGGCCAACGACGUUUAAACCCGCCAAUGAUGAAGGUUGUGAAUGAGGAGAUUAAAAAGUUGCUAGAUGCUGCAUUAUCUACCCCAUUUUCUGAUAGUAAGUGGGAAAGUCCGGUCCAUGUUGUGCCAAAGAAGAUUGGAAUCACGGUGGUCAAAAAUGCCGAAAGAGAAAUGAUUCCAAAGAUAGUACAAAAUGGUUGGAGAAUGUGUAUUGAUUAUAGGAAACUCAACUCACAAACCCGAAAGGACCAUUUUCCUUUACCAUUUAUCGAUCAAAUGAUCGAAAGACUUACCGAAAAAACACAUUACUGUUAUCUUGAUGGAUCUUCUGGAUUUUUUAGGUUCCGAUGGCAUCCGAAGACCAAGAAAAAAUAACAUUUACUUGCCCUUUCGGAACUUUCGCCUAUAGGAGAAUGCCUUUCAAUCUUUGCAACGCUCCGGCCACAUUUCAACGAUGUAUGUUAAGCAUUUUCUCCGAUCACAUCGAGUGAGGAAUAGAGGUAUUUAUGGAUGAUUUUACUGUUUACGGUAAUUCAUUCUCUCAAUGUCUUUCUAAUAUUUCUUAUGUUCUUAAUCAAUGCAUUGAAUUUAAAUUGGUUUUAAACUACGAGAAAUGCCAUUUCAUGGUAAGUAAAGGAUUGGUACUCGGUCAUGUGGUUUCGGCCCAAGAAAUUACUGUUGAUAAGGGAAAGAUUAAUGUAAUUCACUCACUUCCAUACCCCACUUCGGUGAGGGAAAUUCGUAGUUUUCUUGGCCAUGUAGGUUUCUACUGACGGUUCAUAAAGGACUUCUCUAAGUUGGCGCAACCUCUUUGCCAAUUACUACAAAAGGACGUAAAUUUUGUUUUUGAUCAAUCUUGUAAAGAUUUGUUCGAUGAGCUUAAAGGAAGGCUUAUAUCUGCCCCAAUUGUACAACUACCAAAUUGGACUUUACCAUUUCAGAUUAUGUGUGACGCAUCUGACCUUAGCGUGGGAGCCGUUCUCAGCCAAAGGAGUAAAGAAGGACUACACAUGAUAGCCUAUGCCUCUAGGACUCUUGACUCAGCUCAACGCAACUACUCGACAAUGGAAAAAAAGCUUUUUGCUGUCAUUUUUACAUUAGAAAAAUUUCGUUCUUAUUUAUUAGGAACUAAAAUUUUUGUUUUUUCCGAUCAUGCAGCGCUGAAAUACUUGAUGAACAAGAAAGAAGCAAAGCCAUGGUUGAUACGAUAGAUUCUCUUACUGCAGGAGUUCGAUCAUGAAAUCAAGGAUAAAAAGGGAAGCGAAAACUUAGUAGCUGACCAUCUAAGCCGUUUUCCCACUUCACCAGUCGAACCUCCCCUACGAGAAUAAUUUUCGGACGAAACCUUGAUGGAAGCACACGCAUCAUUCCCAUGGUUCACCGAUUUGGUGAAUUUUCUAGCUACGGGUAAAUUUUCGAACAAUCUAUCUCGAUCUGAGAUCAAACGCAUAAAAAAAGAAUCUCGAUUCUAUAUUUGGGACGAUCCAUAUUUAUGGAAAAAUUACUCGGAUCAAAUCGUACGACGAUGCGUAAGUAACAGCAAGGUAAAAUCCAUACUUGAGUUUUGUUAUUCCUACGCUUGCGGUGGACAUUUCGGCCCUAAACGAAUCGCACACAAAAUUCUUGAGUGUGGAUUUUAUUGGCCAACCUUGUUUAAAGACACUUACAACUUUUGCAAAGCCUGUGACAGGUGCUAAAGAGUCGAAAAUCUAAGUCGAAGGAGUGAGAUGCCAUUAAAUCCUAUACACAUCUGUGAAAUUUUCGAUGUGUGGAAGCUCGAUUAUAUGGGGCCAUUUACCUCAUCAUUUGGAAAUUUAUACAUUAUUUUGGCCGUUGAUUACGUUUCGAAAUGGGUAGAGGCGAAAGCCACCCGAGAAAAUGAUGCGAAAGCCACAACUAAUUUUUUACAUGAUUUUAUUUUCUCCAGAUUUGGAAUACCGAGAGCGAUCAUUUGCGACAAAGGAACACAUUUCGUUAACUGAGUCGUCGAAGCUUUGAUGAAGAAAUAUGGCAUGACUCAGCGGAUAGCGACAGCUUAUCAUCCGCAAACCAACGGACAAGUAAAUGUUUCAAAUCGAGAAAUCAAGUCAAUCCUAGAGAAGACAGUUAAACCAAACCGGAAGGAUUGGAGCUUGAGGUUAGUUGAUGCGUUGUGGGAAUAUCACACGGCCUACAAAGGACCUAUCGGGAUGUCACCUUACCGACUUGUUUUCGGCAAACCUUGCCACUUGCCUGUCGAACUCGAGCAUAGGGCGUUUUGGGCGGUGAAGGAAUGUAAUAUGGAGAUGAACGUUAUUGGCGAAACACGGAAACUUCAUAUCCAAGAGCUUGAGGAGAUUCGUCUAAACGCUUACGAUAGCACACAAAAUUAUAAAGAGCGAACAAAAGCAUUUCAUGACAAGCGCAUUUCAUUUAAAUCUUUUUCCGUUGGGCAGAAAGUUCUCCUAUUUAACUCAAAAUUAAAAAUUUUUGCAGGAAAACUUAAGUCCAAGUGGAGCGGACCAUUUACCGUGAUCAAUGUUUUUCCUCAUGGAGCCGUGGAAAUUGAGGAUAGCUCAGGUGCACGAUUUAAAGUUAAUGGACAGCGGCUAAAACCUUUCUUCGAGAGCACACCAAUCGGACUGAUUGAAGAAGUCGAGUUGGAAGAGCCAAAAAUCUGAUAGGAAAAUGUCGAGCUUAACGACUUUAAACAAAGCGCUAAAUUAGAGGCAACCCAUUUGUUUCUUUUUCAUCAAUUUUUAUUUUUAUUUUUUUUGUUCAGACCCCUCCAGGCCCUCGAAGAGAACAUCACAAAAAUACUUUCCUUCCAAUGCCUCAGCCGUGGCCGUCGUCGUCAUUUAUCACGGGGAGUAUCCUUUACCUUUCUUUGUUCUUAAAUGUACUUUACAUUUUUUUUCGUAUUGGGACAAUACGAUUAAGUGAGGGGGUAAAGGAUGACAUUAAUUUCGCCUUGCUUGUCACAUUUUCUUGAUGAUAUGUUUGUUUGAAUUGAUUAGAAGAACAACUCCUUUGCCGUUGUUAGCCGCUAAGCAUGUUAUGAUUAUUUUAGUUCAUAAAGAUACUUGAAUUCUAGCAUGCUUGAUAAUCGAAUAAUAUGAGUAAGUCCAAUUUGACAACCCUUACAAUUUGUCUUGAUGUUGUUAGUUGAAUUCCUCACCUAGCUUAAUUAAUUAGCCCAUUUUGUGAGAACUUGAGCCUUUAGCAUGUAUGACUAUAUUUUUUAUGCUCUUUUUCUUGCUUGAGAGUGUCAAUUUGGACAUUGGAAUCUAGAACUUGUGGCUUGUAUGCAUUUUGAGAUUACAUUGGAAUUUGAUGCAUUAAUAUGAUUUAGGCAUUAGGAUUCACCCUUUCUUUUCCCUUAGUGAACCAAGUUGGAGCCUAAUUUUGUUUUCUUUGUUUUCACUAAGAUUUUAAACCCGAGCCUUUUCAUUUAUUCCUCUCUUCCACCCUUGACAAGAUAAAGAGCAUGAGUUUAAGGUUGUGAGAUCAUGUUCCAAAAAAAGACAAAAAAAGAUAAAAAAGAAAAAAAAGAAAUAAUUCGAAAAAAAGAAAAGAAAGAAAAAAUGAAAGAAAGAAAAAAAAGAAAAGAAAAAAAAAUAGUUUGAUGAUUUGUUCAUUAUAGCUACCUUUGUUUAGUUUGCUUAUUAUUGCUGCCUAUGUUUUCUAAGGUUGUGGACAUGAUUUAGUUACUUGGUGGGAAACUAUUGUCUUGAUUUUCUUUAGCCUCAUUUUAGCCUUAUUCCCCACCUUUACCUAAGCCCCAUUACACCCUUUAUUAAAAGUCCUAAUGAUUUUUGCAUCUCAUUUCUUUAAAGUAGUGGAGAAUUGAUCUUGCCACAAGCCUAUGGAGACCCUUAUUCAAAUUUUGACUUUAAGUGAAUUUGCUUUCUACACCCGAAACUCUUUGCGUGAUUUGAGUGCAUCUUGGUAAUAAUUAAGCUAAGGUUAGAAUUUGAUUGAUAAUUGAUAGAAAAUGGUAAGGUUGAAUGAUUGUUCUUGCUUGCACCUAUUCGUUUUGGUUCAUGCUUUAUUCACGUCAUUUUUUGUGCACUUGAACUCUCAUAAUUUUGUUUAAGACUUGCAAUGGUUUAGGAGAAAGAUGAUAAAGCUUUUGAUUAAUUUAUUUCAAACAUACUUGAGGGCAAGUAUGAGACAAGUGAGGGGGAAUUUGAUGUACUCUUAUAUUUGACACUUUUUGCUUGUUAAUUGCUUUGUCUUAUGAAUUUUCACUACUUAAUUGGUUGCAUUUGAUUUAUUUCUUGUGUAGUGAACCCAAUACUGGAAAUGGCAACAAAAGGACGCAAUAUGCAGUUUUCUUUCUUUUUAUUUUGUCAUGGCUAGAGUCGUAGGCACGACGCUGGGCAUGACACGGAUCUGACGUGGCAAAUCAGAAGUCAACACGGGGAAUAUUCUAGAAACAACUUAUCUUGAUCUAUUGAUGUGAUUUGGGGGAUUUUGGAUUUCAUUUUCAUAAUUUUAAGAUAUUAUCUUAUCUUUUUUUGAUUAGUUUCCUUGUUGAUUUGGGAAUUUGAAGCCUAUAAAUACCCAUAUUUGUUUAAGGCUAAGAGCAUCUCUUGUCUUUGUUCUUAUUGCUACUUUGUUUUCAUUUUUAAUAAAAUUUUCUUCUUUUGUUUUAUUUCUACUUUAUUUUAUUUUAUGUUUUUACAUUAUCAAAACAUGUUAAGCAUGAUAAUCAAUAUCAUGCUUGACUAAUUUUUCUCAAGCCAAGAGCUAGUACGAAUUAAUUCCUCACGUGAAAAUUGAAUAUUGCUUAAAUCCCUUCGGGAUACAUUUUCGUCUUUCUGCUUAGAUAGUUUGGCAAUCGGCCUUACUAAAAUUUUUAAACGUUUUUCAAAUCAAAAAAGAUCCGUUGGUCUGGAAUCGUUUAAUUUUACAGUUGGGAGGAAGGAUCGACCUGUGGCAUUUUGACUUCCUAUGAACACUCUUAGCGGCAGUCCGCUAAGGAAAGAUGAGGUCGGAAACGAUUCUUGAUGAGACAACUUCAGAGUUGGGCUUUUCCUGUUUUAAAACUAAGUAUUUUAACGGCGAUAGAUGUGGUUGAUUUACUUAAGAAUCAACUUUCGAAGAUAAACUUGGGAAGAUUGGUUACUUGAGAGAAAAGCAAGUUACGAUGGGUUGGGCCUCGUAGACUGUAACCGACAUGAAUCCCAGAGCAAAAAUCUAUUUUUGAUGAUCGUGGGAAUUGACGAAACUAGCUCGAGGCGAUUCUUAUACUCGUGUUUAUUCAACUUAAUCUUUCACCUUCUUUAUUUUAUUGCUUCUAUUUUAAUACAUCUUUCUUUGCAAUUUUACUUGUUUAUUUUAUUUUCUUGUUACUUCUCAAAUCACCCUUUUUUUUAUUUUCUAUUUCAGCUCCUAGUUCGAGAACAAGAAAUUUAAUCAAGAAUUCCAUUAAACUCCCUGUGGAUCGACCCUCUUCCACUAUUCUACCUUUUUAUUUAUUUAUUUAUUUUUGAAGAGGUUUAUUUUAUUUUGAUAGGCAAAACGACGCUUGUCAAUCUUGUAGCUCAUGUUCAGACACAAAAUGAUUUAGUUGAAUUGUUUAUCAAAUGCCUCCAACUAAUAACUAAAUCAUUACUUGUGAGAACAAAACUUUCUAUUUCAACAUGAGAUUGGUUAAAGAAAGUUUAUCAUGUUCCAAUACAAUCAUGAUUUAGCUAAAUCAUUACAUGUGCGGUAUAUGUUUCAACUACUUAUCAAUACAAGAAAUUCUUGUUUCGGCAAACUCUUAAAGAGCUUCAAAUACAAGAAAUUGUUUAAAGAGAGAAUUUGAGAUGAAAGAUCUUGGAAAAACAAAGUUUUAUUUUGGAUUACAAAUCGAGCAUUUAAAGAUGAAAUUCAUGUUCAUUAAUCAACUUAUAUGGAAAAGAUAUUAAAAAAUUUUAC